UACGGGGGGAGCAAGCGUUGUUCGGAUUUACUGGGCGUAAAGGGCGCGUAGGCGGUCAGCACAAGUCAGUUGUGAAAUCUCCGGGCUUAACUCGGAAAGGUCAACUGAUACUGUGCGACUAGAGUGCAGAAGGGGCAACUGGAAUUCUCGGUGUAGCGGUGAAAUGCGUAGAUAUCGAGAGGAACACCUGCGGCGAAGGCGGGUUGCUGGGCUGACACUGACGCUGAUGCGCGAAAGCGUGGGGAUCAAACAGG
RNAcentral lists this ribosomal RNA (254 nucleotides) under uncultured bacterium. RNAcentral's name for it is "partial 16S ribosomal RNA". It matches the Rfam family "Bacterial small subunit ribosomal RNA", at positions 524 to 776 of the family's 1533-position model. The record is from RNAcentral.